ACGGCUCAGUAACACGUGGAUAACCUGCCCUAGGGAAGGGGAUAACCCCGGGAAACUGGGGAUAAUACCCUAUAGAUUACAGAUGCUGGAAUGCCCUGUAAUCCAAAGUUCCGACGCCCUAGGAUGGAUCUGCGGCCGAUUAGGUUGUUGUUGGGGUAAUGGCCCAACAAGCCCGUAAUCGGUACGGGUUGUGGGAGCAAGAGCCCGGAGUUGGAUUCUGAGACACGAAUCCAGGCCCUACGGGGCGCAGCAGGCGCGAAAACUUUACAAUGCGGGCAACCGUGAUAAGGGAACCUCGAGUGCCUGUAAAUGCAGGCUGUUCAGGUGCCUAAAACACACCUGAAGAAAGGGCCGGGCAAGACCGGUGCCAGCAGCCGCGGUAAUAC
Molecule: ribosomal RNA, 386 nt
Filed under: uncultured archaeon
Lineage: Archaea
Description: bacterial SSU rRNA
Rfam family: Archaeal small subunit ribosomal RNA
Source: RNAcentral